GAGCGGGAAAAGCUCAAAUUUAAAAUCUGGCGGUCAUGCCGUCCGAGUUGUAAUCUGGAGAAGCGUUUUCCGCGUCGGACCGUGUACAAGUCUUCUGGAACGGAGCGUCAUAGAGGGUGAGAAUCCCGUCUCUGACACGGACUACCGAUGCUUUUGUGAUGCGCUCUCGAAGAGUCGAGUUGUUUGGGAAUGCAGCUCAAAAUGGGAGGUAAAUUCCUUCUAAAGCUAAAUAUUGGCUAGAGACCGAUAGCGAACAAGUACCGUGAGGGAAAGAUGAAAAGCACUUUGGAAAGAGAGUUAAACAGUACGUGAAAUUGUUGAAAGGGAAACGCUUGAAGUCAGUCGCGUUGGCCGAGACUCAGCCUGGCUUGCCUGGUGUACUUCUCGGUCGACGGGUCAGCAUCAGUUUUGACCGUCGGAUAAAGGUUGGAGGAAUGUGGCAUCUCUCGGGAUGUGUUAUAGCCUCUGAUUCGCAUACGGCGAUUGGGACUGAGGAACUCAGCACGCCUUUACGGUCGGGGUUCGCCCACGCAACGUGCUUAGGAUGCUGGCAUAAUGGCUUUAAGCGACCCGUCUUGAAACACGGACCAAGGAGUCUAACAUGCCCGCGAGUGUUUGGGUGUCAAACCCGAGCGCGUAAUGAAAGUGAAAGUUGAGAUCCCUGUCGUGGGAGC
Molecule: ribosomal RNA, 674 nt
Filed under: Athelia cystidiolophora
Lineage: Eukaryota; Fungi; Basidiomycota; Agaricomycetes; Atheliales; Atheliaceae
Description: partial large subunit ribosomal RNA
Rfam family: Eukaryotic large subunit ribosomal RNA
Source: RNAcentral